RNAcentral lists this ribosomal RNA (391 nucleotides) under uncultured bacterium. RNAcentral describes it as "bacterial SSU rRNA". It matches the Rfam family "Bacterial small subunit ribosomal RNA", at positions 28 to 409 of the family's 1533-position model. The record is from RNAcentral.
GACGAACGCUGGCGGCGCGCUUAACACAUGCAAGUCGAGCGAGAACCAGACCCUUCGGGUCUGGGGACGAGCGGCGAACGGGUGAGUAACACGUGAGUAAUCCACCCUUGGUACCGGGAUAGCUCGGGGAAACUCGAAUUAAUACCGGAUGGCCCAUUAGCCUUUCGAGGCGAAUGGAAAAGGUAGCUUCGGCCUCCGACCAAGGACGAGCUCGCGGCGGAUUAGCUUGUUGGCGGGGUAAUGGCCCACCAAGGCGACGAUCCGUAGCUGGUCUGAGAGGACGAUCAGCCACACUGGGACUGAGACACGGCCCAGACUCCUACGGGAGGCAGCAGUGGGGAAUCUUGCGCAAUGGGCGGAAAGCCUGACGCAGCGACGCCGCGUGAGGGAA